RNAcentral lists this ribosomal RNA (763 nucleotides) under uncultured Streptococcus sp. RNAcentral's name for it is "bacterial SSU rRNA". It matches the Rfam family "Bacterial small subunit ribosomal RNA", at positions 28 to 776 of the family's 1533-position model. Lineage: Bacteria; Bacillati; Bacillota; Bacilli; Lactobacillales; Streptococcaceae. The record is from RNAcentral.
GACGAACGCUGGCGGCGUGCCUAAUACAUGCAAGUAGAACGCUGAAGGAGGAGCUUGCUUCUCCGGAUGAGUUGCGAACGGGUGAGUAACGCGUAGGUAACCUGCCUGGUAGCGGGGGAUAACUAUUGGAAACGAUAGCUAAUACCGCAUAAGAGUAGAUGUCGCAUGACAUUUGCUUAAAAGGUGCAAUUGCAUCACUACCAGAUGGACCUGCGUUGUAUUAGCUAGUUGGUGGGGUAACGGCUCACCAAGGCGACGAUACAUAGCCGACCUGAGAGGGUGAUCGGCCACACUGGGACUGAGACACGGCCCAGACUCCUACGGGAGGCAGCAGUAGGGAAUCUUCGGCAAUGGACGGAAGUCUGACCGAGCAACGCCGCGUGAGUGAAGAAGGUUUUCGGAUCGUAAAGCUCUGUUGUAAGAGAAGAAUGAGUGUGAGAGUGGAAAGUUCACACUGUGACGGUAUCUUACCAGAAAGGGACGGCUAACUACGUGCCAGCAGCCGCGGUAAUACGUAGGUCCCGAGCGUUGUCCGGAUUUAUUGGGCGUAAAGCGAGCGCAGGCGGUUAGAUAAGUCUGAAGUUAAAGGCUGUGGCUUAACCAUAGUACGCUUUGGAAACUGUUUAACUUGAGUGCAAGAGGGGAGAGUGGAAUUCCAUGUGUAGCGGUGAAAUGCGUAGAUAUAUGGAGGAACACCGGUGGCGAAAGCGGCUCUCUGGCUUGUAACUGACGCUGAGGCUCGAAAGCGUGGGGAGCAAACAGG